UCCAAGUGCGCGAUACGCUCGAUCCGGCACGCGUAAAAUUCCGAUCUGGGCAAAUCUACGACAGAAUUAAUAAAUUUUGGGGUAAUAGAAAGAAAAGAAAGCCCUAUGGAGUUGAUACAGUUAUUGUAGAAGACGGUUAAUGAUAGAAAUGACGAUGUAAAUAUAAAGGUAGAUUUCCGCAAUUGUAUUCCAGUUGGGUUGUAAAUGAAUAAUAAAAGUCCAUCUUAAAUAUAUGAACUGCUGUAUUUUGGAUACAUAUGUGAAAUAAGUAAAUGGGCCUGAAUCCAUAA
Molecule: non-coding RNA, 290 nt
Organism: Jatropha curcas
Lineage: Eukaryota; Viridiplantae; Streptophyta; Magnoliopsida; Malpighiales; Euphorbiaceae
Source: RefSeq, a predicted model, not a curated record